RNAcentral lists this ribosomal RNA (403 nucleotides) under uncultured bacterium. RNAcentral describes it as "partial 16S ribosomal RNA". It matches the Rfam family "Bacterial small subunit ribosomal RNA", at positions 28 to 526 of the family's 1533-position model. The record is from RNAcentral.
GACGAACGCUGGCGGCGUGCCUAAUACAUGCAAGUCGAACGCAGUGGGGACGGGUGAGUAACACGUGGGUAACCUCCCAUCAGAGGGGAUAACACUUGGAAAAAGGUGCUAAACCGAUACUGAUGGCUGAACCCGCGGUGCAUUAGCUGGUUGGUGAGGUAACGGCUCACCAAGGCGACGAGGCAUAGCCGGUCUGAGAGUGUGAUCGGCCACACUGGGACUGAGACACGGCCCAGACUCCUACGGGAGGCAGCAGUAGGGAAUAUUCGGCAAUGGGCGAAAGUCUGACCGAGCAACGCCGCGUGAGGGAAGAAGGUUUUCGGGUCGUAAAACUCUUUUGUUAGGGAAGCGGUAUCUAACCAGAAAGCAACGGCUAACUACGGGCCAGCAGCCGCGGUAAUUC